This 319-nucleotide long non-coding RNA is filed under the name Zonotrichia albicollis (white-throated sparrow). RNAcentral's name for it is "lncRNA (ENSZALG00000000786.1)". The record is from RNAcentral. Lineage: Eukaryota; Metazoa; Chordata; Aves; Passeriformes; Passerellidae.
UGUUGAGGCUGUGGCUUGGUACACCCCUCUCUACUGCAACAGAAGACAAGGAUAGCUGUUGAAAAAGGAAAAAAAACCUUUUUUGAGAACAUUGUCUUACAACUUUCUCAACAAUAGAGCAAAAUGAGGGAUGACAAAAUGAACAGGAAUUUAUAUCAAAUGAUGCAGAGUGGAAGAGGCUGACCCAUGACAAGCCCAAGAAAAGACAAAUCUUCAUUAAAAGGUAUGUGGAAAUAAUGAGUGUUGUCAUCAACAUGAAGGAAGUAGCCAGAAAAAUGUCCUUCAGCUCCCAGCUGGCUGAGUAGGAAAGGUGGAAGGC